RNAcentral lists this unclassified non-coding RNA (333 nucleotides) under soil metagenome. RNAcentral's name for it is "partial contains 5.8S ribosomal RNA, internal transcribed spacer 2, and large subunit ribosomal RNA". The stretch from base 1 to 121 matches the Rfam family "5.8S ribosomal RNA", at positions 35 to 154 of the family's 154-position model. The record is from RNAcentral.
GAUGAAGAACGUAGUGAAAUGCGAUAAGUAAUGCGAAUUGCAGAAUUUCCGUGAGUCAUCGAAUCUUUGAACGCACAUUGCGCCCGCUAGUAUUCUGGCGGGCAUGCCUGUUCGAGCGUCAUUUCAACCAUCAAGCCCUAGGCUUGCGUUGGAGCCCUGCGGCUGCCGCAGGCUCCCAAAUCCAGUGGCGGGCUCGUCGUCGUACCGAGUGCAGUAAACAUCCUCGCUCAGGGAACGUGACGGGUUCUUGCCGUGAAACCCCCCACAUAUCAAGGUUGACCUCGGAUCAGGUAGGAAUACCCGCUGAACUUAAGCAUAUCAAUAAGCGGAGGA